RNAcentral lists this ribosomal RNA (301 nucleotides) under uncultured bacterium. RNAcentral describes it as "partial 16S ribosomal RNA". It matches the Rfam family "Bacterial small subunit ribosomal RNA", at positions 509 to 807 of the family's 1533-position model. The record is from RNAcentral.
CAGUCGCCACGGGAAUACGUAGGUGGCAAGCGUUGUCCGGAAUUAUUGGGCGCAAAGGGCUCGCAGGCGGUUUCUUAAGUCUGAUGUGAAAGCCCCCGGCUCAACCGGGAAGGGUCAUUGGAAACUGGGAAACUUGAGUGCAGAAGGGGAGAGUGGAAUUCCACGUGUAGCGGUGAAAUGCAUAGAGAUGUGGAGGAACACCAGUGGCGAAGGCGACCCUCUGGUCUGUAACUGACGCUGAGGAGCGAAAGCGUGGGGAGCGAACAGGAUUAGAUACCCCCGUAGUCCCUGUCUCUUAUAC